RNAcentral lists this ribosomal RNA (590 nucleotides) under Carabus dufouri. Its description in RNAcentral is "LSU rRNA". The record is from RNAcentral. Lineage: Eukaryota; Metazoa; Arthropoda; Insecta; Coleoptera; Carabidae.
AUUAUAAGUUAUUUAAUUUAUAUUUAUAUAGUUUAUAAACCAGGAAAGCAUGAUUUUAUAAAAUAAAAUAAUUUCUAUCUUUGGCUGGACCGAAUGCGGCCAGACUUGAGUCUAGUACAUUUCUAAAUUACCAGCUUGUCUGGUUUUAAUAAUUCGAAGAUGUGGAUUUUAUUAGAAAUUAGGUUGUAGCUCCAGCGUUUGAAAAAAUAGCUAUACUUGAGAGAUUUUUUUAAUGCGACAAUAGGGAUUCCAUUGAAUUAGAAUAUUAGUCAUUUUGACCUAGUAAUUAUAAGUAUUUAAUUACAAAUAAUAUUUUUUCUUAAAUAAAUUAGAAAAAUAAUGGGGUUAUUUUAUGGAAUCAAUUUAUUUUGUAAUUAUAAAGAUUUAAUUAAAUUAAAUUAUUCGAUAUUUCUAGAUAUCCCAGAAGAGCAGAAAAUUAUUAUAAAUUCGGAAAAUUGAAUUUUCAAUUUAAGAUGAUAUUAAAUCUAUCUCUGUCUAAAAUGGAGCAGGUCGGAAAGUAUGUUCGAAAAUUAAUUUUUUGAUUACUAAUACGAUGGAAACGUGUCAGUUUUAUGACGCCGGUAAAUUUU